RNAcentral lists this ribosomal RNA (63 nucleotides) under Candida albicans. RNAcentral's name for it is "partial 28S ribosomal RNA". It matches the Rfam family "Eukaryotic large subunit ribosomal RNA", at positions 1 to 61 of the family's 3401-position model. The record is from RNAcentral. Lineage: Eukaryota; Fungi; Ascomycota; Pichiomycetes; Serinales; Debaryomycetaceae.
UUUGACCUCCAAUCAGGGAAGACUACCCGCUGAACUUAAGCAUAUCAAUAAGCGGAAGAAAAG